RNAcentral lists this long non-coding RNA (222 nucleotides) under Volvox carteri. Its description in RNAcentral is "long non-coding RNA (VCAR_LNC001266)". The record is from RNAcentral. Lineage: Eukaryota; Viridiplantae; Chlorophyta; Chlorophyceae; Chlamydomonadales; Volvocaceae.
CGGCGGUGUCGAAUCUGACAGAAUAUGCUUUGCAAAAUAACCUAUAAUGGAAGGCAGAGCACUAAUUGACAGGCCAACAGGCGUCGUACGCUGUACAAGAUGUAACCAACACAACCGCUAUGCAAGCUGAUCUCUGCUGAUCGCAGGUAACCAGAGGUAGGCAAUUCGGUUUCUACGGCUGCGGGAAGGCAUAAUUUCGGAUAAUAAACAUAAAACCUUUUU